CAAAGAAACAUGGAAACUAUUAUUAUCUAGGAAACAAUCCAUAGCGAAAACAAAAUUAACUCUCCUAACUGACUAGAAUUUAAAUCAAGGAAAAUUAGAAUAUACGACGUUGUAUCACAUACGGUAUUUAGACAUCAAGAAAAGAAUCCCUCUAUCUGUGAACCACACUUGCCAGGAAAUUAACACCAGGGGAAUACCACCACCUCAUACUAUUUCUUAGGUGUCUCAGAGUUUGAUGAGGACUUCCAUGCUGUGUCUCUUCGACAGGCAGCAAAAUUGGGCAAUUGACUACAUCAACUCCAACAAAUUUAUGCAGCCACCUUCCUCCGGACCAUCCUGUUUCUUCGCGCUUUAGUUGCCCCUAUUUCCCAUUAUCUUGUUUGACGCCAAGGAGCCCAAGCCCAGAAACAAUGGCAUUCUUUGGUAUCAACCACCUGGAGACUUUGGUAUCAAGCCUGUUGUGCAAGGCUUCUUCAAAAGGUCAUCCGUUGAUCUUUCUCCUAAUUAGACAUUCAAAACCCUGCAUGGAAUCCAUUUGAGAAGUUGGACAAUAGACAAAGUCCAACACAUAUAGACAGUAAAGAAGAAUUCAGACCGCACUCACUGUGGCUGAACAAAUGGGCCUAUUAAGCCUAUUAAAAGUUGGAACCAUAUUCACCACUCGCAUUUCCUUAGAGAACUAUAUCAGAAUUCUGUAAAUUGAAAACUAUUCUUACAUAUUUAACUGUAAAACAAGAGAAAUUAUACUUCCGUAGCAAAGUCUCACUAUUGGUAAGUAUCUGGACUUGGAAAGGAUGCUAGUUGAUCAAGUAAAGGAAAAUUGACAUCAGACUUUGAUGUGAUAGAUAUAUACACUUCAAUAGGAACCACAUUAACAACUUAUGAGACAAACAAACAAAUUCCCCAGUCAAAGUUCAACAAACAAAACAUUAAAACAAGAGUAGGUUGGUCUAUCAAUGUAUAUAUAGAGAUGUCGAUCAAUUGACAAAUACAUCAAGAGUAGGUUGGUCUAUCAAUGUAUAUAUAGAGAUGUCGAUCAAUUGACAAAUACAUCAAGAGUAGGUUGGUCUAUCAAUGUAUAUAUAGAGAUGUCGAUCAAUUGACAAAUACAUCAAGAGUAGGUUGGUCUAUCAAUGUAUAUAUAGAGAUGUCGAUCAAUUGACAAAUACAUCAAGAGUAGGUUGGUCUAUCAAUGUAUAUAUAGAGAUGUCGAUCAAUUGACAAAUACAUCAAGAGUAGGUUGGUCUAUCAAUGUAUAUAUAGAGAUGGCGAAGAAUCUUGCAUCUUAUCAAGUGGGGAAAGCCUUCGCAACAAAGAUGCUGCUUGCUUUCAAGCAAUAAUAAUUUUCCAAUUCCAUAAGGUAGCUUAAUGCCUUUUAAGAAUAUCUGCACCAGCCUAACAAUUAAUCAUGGAAAUUCAAUUUGCAUUUAUCACCUUUAAUUUGCUCAUCUUUGUCUCGAGUAUUGUUUUUGCGUUAACUUAACUAGCUUGCAAACCACCUGCAAAUGGUUUUAAAUAAUGUGUGAGAUUGUGAGGUCGAACGAAUUAAUCAAAUAUGAUGACAGGAGAAACAAAAUUGAAAUAACCACAAGUAGAAGUAUACUUUUGUUAUAUUUAUAGCAUCUUCUACUGUCUUCUUUUCCUUUAGCUCUGUUUCUGUGUUUGCUCAAUCGCGAUGCCUCAAUCUUUUGCAGCCAUAUGCAGACUUGAAACACCGGGGUGUCCCUAAGGAACUUGAAAAUUAGAAAAGUUUCAGUAUGAGUGACUAAAUAUGAUAAUCGAAACUAAUUUAAUAUACACACCUUGUAAAUCUGAAACUAAAUUACUCAAAUGUAUAUGCCUCUUGGCAGCAAUUGCUCGUGGUGGAAAGUUUACUGCAAAGACUUCCUCAAACCUGUGAAGCUCACACACUUCCUGGCAACAAAGAAACAGAGUCAAUAUACGAAGAUGAUUUUACUAACAAGUGAGAGCUUGCAAAUAUUGGAAGGAUAACGAUUACUCAUAACCCAAAUACCCAAUACCUUCUAAUAUCUCACUCACGUGAGUUCAAGCUCCCAAAAUUCAUUACAGUGAAACUCUCACAACAUAAUUGUCUUCAAAUAUUCUCUACUCAACGAAUUAAUUAAAUAUGAUGACAGGAGAAACAAAAUUAAAAUAACCACAAGAAGUAGAAAUAUACUUUUGUUAUAUUCAGAGCAUCUCCUACUGUCUUCAUUUCCCUUAGCUCUGUUUCCUUUUGUGCUCGAACGCAAUGCCUCAAGGCUCAAGAUAAUUUGAUGACCAUCAAUCUUUUUGCAGCCACAUGUAGACUUGAAAAACUGUUGGCGGCCCUAAAGAACUUGAAAAUUAGAAAAGAUUCAGAAUGAGUGACUAAAUAUUAUAAUCGAAACUAAUUAAACAAACGCGCCUUGAAAAUCUGAAACUGAAUUACUCAAAUGUAUAUGCCCCUUCACAGCAAUUGCACGUGGUGGAUGUUGAGGUUGAUGUGGAAAGGACGUGGCUCCCGCGUAAAACCCACCGCUUCGUUCUAAACUAAGUGACUUUAUGUCGUGAGUUAAGUAGUUUAGGAGAUAACUCAAAUAAUUAAUUUUUUAUUAGUUCAGUAAUAAGAAUUUUCGAUUUUAUUUUAAAAGUAUAAUUCAUUACAAAAAAAAAUACUUAAUAAAAAUAACUGUUAUUGUUAUUGAACAUAUUACAUUUUUUCAAUAAUAAAAUAAUUCAAAAUUUUAAUUAUUAUAACAAUAAAAUUUGUAAUAUAAUCCAUUCAUAUACUACAUACAUCACAUAAAAUAUAAACUAGUACUAAGUAUAAUCAUGUUAUAACUAUUCUUAUAAUAUUCUAUUAAUCAUGUUAUAACUAUUCUUAUAAUAUUCUAUUACUAUCAUAUACUGUCAUUUUCCAUCCGGCAUGUCGAACGUGUAAAGUUUGAGUAAGAUUUAUUAAAGUUGAGUAACAUCUUGUAUGGUCAACGCGUCGAGUGUGGACUUGCAUGAUCGAGUCAGUACAACUAAAGUCGGGUAGAGUUUGGUAAAUCUCUAUAUUGUGUUGAGGUUGGACAACUAUACCUUUUAAGCUACAUAAUUAAACAAUUUAAGUAAAUAUUUGCUAUUUUGACUUAAAAUUUAAUUUGAUUUGAUCUCAUACUUUAUUAUUAAAAAACUUAUAAUAUUAAAUAUUAUAAUCGAAACUAAUUAAACAAACGCGCCUUGAAAAUCUGAAACUGAAUUACUCAAAUGUAUAUGCCCCUUCACAGCAAUUGCACGUGGUGGAUGUUGAGGUUGAUGUGGAAAGGACGUGGCUCCCGCGUAAAACCCACCGCUUCGUUCUAAACUAAGUGACUUUAUGUCGUGAGUUAAGUAGUUUAGGAGAUAACUCAAAUAAUUAAUUUUUUAUUAGUUCAGUAAUAAGAAUUUUCGAUUUUAUUUUAAAAGUAUAAUUCAUUACAAAAAAAAAUACUUAAUAAAAAUAACUGUUAUUGUUAUUGAACAUAUUACAUUUUUUCAAUAAUAAAAUAAUUCAAAAUUUUAAUUAUUAUAACAAUAAAAUUUGUAAUAUAAUCCAUUCAUAUACUACAUACAUCACAUAAAAUAUAAACUAGUACUAAGUAUAAUCAUGUUAUAACUAUUCUUAUAAUAUUCUAUUAAUCAUGUUAUAACUAUUCUUAUAAUAUUCUAUUAAUCAUGUUAUAACUAUUCUUAUAAUAUUCUAUUAAUCAUGUUAUAACUAUUCUUAUAAUAUUCUAUUAAUCAUGUUAUAACUAUUCUUAUAAUAUUCUAUUAAUCAUGUUAUAACUAUUCUUAUAAUAUUCUAUUAAUCAUGUUAUAACUAUUCUUAUAAUAUUCUAUUAAUCAUGUUAUAACUAUUCUUAUAAUAUUCUAUUAAUCAUGUUAUAACUAUUCUUAUAAUAUUCUAUUAAUCAUGUUAUAACUAUUCUUAUAAUAUUCUAUUAAUCAUGUUAUAACUAUUCUUAUAAUAUUCUAUUAAUCAUGUUAUAACUAUUCUUAUAAUAUUCUAUUAAUCAUGUUAUAACUAUUCUUAUAAUAUUCUAUUACUAUCAUAUACUGUCAUUUUCCAUCCGGCAUGUCGAACGUGUAAAGUUUGAGUAAGAUUUAUUAAAGUUGAGUAACAUCUUGUAUGGUCAACGCGUCGAGUGUGGACUUGCAUGAUCGAGUCAGUACAACUAAAGUCGGGUAGAGUUUGGUAAAUCUCUAUAUUGUGUUGAGGUUGGACAACUAUACCUUUUAAGCUACAUAAUUAAACAAUUUAAGUAAAUAUUUGCUAUUUUGACUUAAAAUUUAAUUUGAUUUGAUCUCAUACUUUAUUAUUAAAAAACUUAUAAUAUUUUUAUUAAUUUUAUUAAAUUAUUAUUUAAAAGUCAUACAUUUACUGCACAUUGUCAACUUUCUGUUAUUUUUUUUGUUCUCACAACAGCUAGUAAUAUCAAACAAGAGCUAAGUUAAGUUAUCAUCAAUUAAUUAAAGUUAUGAUUUUUUGUAUAAAUAAUCAUUAGAUAAUUAGUCUAUAAACAAUAUCGGCUACUUCAAUUGGAAACUUGUGAUCAAAAUUGUAUCACAGAAGUGACAAAGCCAACUAUGUGAGAAAUCUGAAACAGAAUUUGCAAAAUUGAACUGGGUUACAGAGAGUAAAUAAGACUCCAAAGGAACAUGGCAAUUAUUAUUAUCUAGGAAACAAUUCGUAGCUAAAACAAAAUUAACUAUACUUGCCAGGAAAAUUGGAAUAUACGACAUUGUAUCACAUAUAGUAUUUAGACAUCAAGAAGAGAAUCCCUCUAUCAGUGAACUAUACUUGCCAGGAAAUUAACACCAGACGAGUACCAACACCUACUAUUUCUUAGGUGUCUUAGAGUUUGAUGAGGACUUCCAUGCUGUCUCUUCGACAGGCAGCAAAGUUGGGCAAUUGACUACAUUAACUCCAACAAAUUUAUGCAGUCACUUUCCUCCGGACCAUCCUCUUUCUUCGCGCUUUAGUUGCCCUUAUUUACCCCUUAAAAGAGUCAACAUUAUCUUGUUUGACGCCAAGGAGACCAAGCCCAGAAACAAUGGCAUUCUUUGAUAUCAACCACCUGGGGACUUUUGAGCUAAGCCAUGACAUCCUGAGAUGGCCUGUUGUGUAAGCCUUCUUCAAAAGGUCAUCCGUUAAUCUUUCUCUUAAUUAGACAUUCAAAACCCUGCAUGGAAUCGAUUUGAGAAGUUGGACAAUAGACAAACUCCAACACAUAUAGACAGUAAAGAAGAAUUUAGACCGCAAUCACUGUGGCUCAACAAAUGGGCCUAUUAAGCCUAUUAAAAGUUGGAACCAUAUUCACCACUCGCAUUUCCUCUAGAGAGCUAUGUCAGAAUUCUGUAAAUUUAAAACUAUUCUUACAUAAUUAACUGUAAAACAAGAGAAAUUGUACUUCCGUAAGCAAAGUCUCACUAUUGGUAAGUAUCUGGACUUGGAAAGGAUGCUAGUUGAUUCAGUAAAGGAAAAUUGACAUCAAACUUUGAUGUGAUAGAAGAUAGAUAUAUACACUUCAAUAGGAACCACAUUAACAUCUUAUGAGACAAACAAACAAAUUCCCCAGUCAAAGUUCAACAAACAAAACAUUAAAGCAAGAGUAAUUUGGUCUAUCAAUGUAUACAUAGAGAUGUCGAUCAAUAGACAAAUACGUAAAAGGGGGAGGGAGAGACCUCAAAGUCGUGCUACUCCAAUAACUUCAAAAUUGUUGGUGACCGCUCUAUCAAAUCCACGCAAUAGUUGCGUACACUCACCGAUGGGUUUGUCACAGAUAACCUGUCAGACAUUAAAAAUUGCCCAAAUUAAAUGUUAGACCAGCUUAGACAGUAAACGGAACAAUAUUCUAAUUUUACUUUACUUAUAACGAAUAAGUGAACAAAGGAAUAAAAAGGAAGUUUGGCAAAGAAUCCCGCAGCUAAUCCCACCAGACACCGCUCUGCAGGCUUAUUCGGGAGUCAAAAUUCUCAAAAUGUACUAAGAAAUGACAUUUGUUUACUAAUCCCACCAACAAGGAGGAAGUGACGUGAAGAGAAUUUACUAAGAAAUGCCAGUGUAUUAAUAUUGAAGGAAAACAUUCACUGACGACCAAAAUCGCUGAUAUAUGCUUAAUUUCUCACUCACUAAGAACGUUCAAUUCAUUCAAAUGAAACUUCCACAGGAAGGUCUCAUUAUUAAGGCUUUAGCUUCACCUCACAUGCUCAAUAAUUCAAAUUUGAGGAUGAUAUUUCUCCAAAUGGAGGGCUCUAUUUGGCUUGCCAACAAUCUUACUCACAACUAUCAUCCUUGCUAUAUCGGUUGCACUGAGCAAUCUUCAUUCUGACAUUUGCCCUAUUAACCUGAGUACACAAGAAUCCGAAACAACUGUUAGAAAUUUUAAUCUUUAUAUAUAGCCAAAAUGGUGAAUAAGAUGAUGUACUGAUAAUAAAUACCUGAGUUAAUAAAUAAUUAAGGGGCCGGUAACAAUCUCAGCAUCUUAUCAAGUGGGGAAAGCCUUCGCAACGAAGAUGCUGCUUGCUUUCAAGCAAAUAACUUUCCAAUUCCAUAAGAUAGCUUAAUGCCCUUUUAAGAAUAUCUCCACCAGCCUAACAAUUAUUCAUGGAAAUCCAAUUUGCAUUUGUCGCCUUCAAUUUGCUCAUCUUUGUCUAGAGUAUUGUUUUUGCAUUAACUUAGCUAGCUUGCAAACCACCUGCAGAUGGUUUUAAAUAAUGUGUGAGAGUGUGAAUUCAAACGAAUUAAUUAAAUAUGAUGACAGGAGAAACAAAAUUAAAAUAACCACAAGAAGUAGAAAUAUACUUUUGUUAUAUUCAGAGUAUCUCCUACUGUCUUCAUUUCCCUUAGCUCUGUUUCCUUUUGUGUUCGAAUGCAAUGCCUCAAGGCUCAAGAUAAUUUGAUGACCAUCAAUCUUUUUGCAGCCACAUGUAGACUUGAAAAACUGUUGGCGGCCCUAAAGAACUUGAAAAUUAGAAAAGAUUCAGAAUGAGUGACUAAAUAUAAUAAUCGAAACUAAUUAAACAAACGCGCCUUGAAAAUCUGAAACUGAAUUACUCAAAUGUAUAUGCUGUAAGAAACCAAACAGUGAGAUAACAAAUUAUAUGUUAGCUAAUUUAAACAAUAGUGUAAACUAGCAAUCGGAAACAAUAAAUGAAGAACAGAAGAAGAAGAAACCGAAUUGAAAUAAAUAAAUAAAAAAGAACCCGAGGCCUGCACAAAAACAGUCUCCUUAAAACAGAUUUACCACCUAUUCGGAGUGCUUAAGGUCUAAUGGUAUCUGUUUCCCAGGAUGCAACGGGUACGAACUUCCAGUCAAGCACAAGCUGGAAAUUCCGGCGAACCACAAUAGUGAACUCGAUCAGAGAAAGACGAAGAAGAAUGAAGGGAAAACAAGUGUGCUUUGUGCUCGUUUUUUGCAAGUGGAAAAAACAGAAGUGAAGGUGUCUUUUUAUACUCAAGGGAGGAUGUAACAGCUUUUGUAUUGAAUUUUCGAAUUCAAUACAUUUUAAUUUAAUUGUUAUGACAGCCAAAUCAAUUUAACGAAUUGAUUUCAAAAUUGAAUUUAAAAAAAACGUGAAUAACAGCUAAAAAUAAUUGUAAAAGCUAAUUUGGCUGUUACAAUAAAUUGUGCCUGUUACAAAAUUGAAUUUAAAAAAAACGUGAACUGUUACAAUAAAAAAUUCAAAAGGAAUUAAAAAACGUGCCUAGCUUGCUUGAUUUUGGGCUGACGUUCGUGUACGCAGGCGCACACGAGUUCAACCCCAAAUUGGGCUUUGAUUCGCACCCCCCCCUGCGCACGCUUGUGUGGAGAGAACCUCUAUCUUUAUAAUUCUUACUCAUGCAUGGUUAAGUGUUUAUAUUUAAACACUUAUUCCUAGGCUUCUUUUUCCCAUGUGGGAUAAGACUCAUUUCCUUUCAAAUUUUCAACUUCAAGGGUGAACUUUGAGAGACAAUUUCUCAUUCACCCAAGCACCAUUUUGAGAAAAUAAAAUUAUACUAUUGAAGUAUCAACGGAGUAGAAUCCGAACCUCACAAUAUUUUUCACUUUCGUUAAGUGGGACCCACUCAAAAUGUGCUCUCAAAUUAGCAUGUUAUGCUAUUUUUUCCAAC
This 8119-nucleotide long non-coding RNA is filed under the name Citrus sinensis (sweet orange). Its description in RNAcentral is "long non-coding RNA (CSIN_LNC005250)". The record is from RNAcentral. Lineage: Eukaryota; Viridiplantae; Streptophyta; Magnoliopsida; Sapindales; Rutaceae.